UUAACAGCCUUGAAGGCCGAAGUUCUCUCUCUGUUCCCUGAACAGGUACAGCAUGUGCUCUGGUAAAGCAAUUUUCCCCAUACUUCCCUCCAGUGUGCCUCAUCUCUGACAUGGAAGGACCACUUCUAAGCAAGAGAGAGGAGUUCAAUUUCCAUGAUCCAUUCAGUGUCUGGCCUCU
This is an unclassified non-coding RNA of Chelonoidis abingdonii (Abingdon island giant tortoise), 178 nucleotides long. Lineage: Eukaryota; Metazoa; Chordata; Testudines; Testudinidae. The record is from Ensembl.